Molecule: ribosomal RNA, 917 nt
Filed under: Plenodomus changchunensis
Lineage: Eukaryota; Fungi; Ascomycota; Dothideomycetes; Pleosporales; Leptosphaeriaceae
Description: partial large subunit ribosomal RNA
Rfam family: Eukaryotic large subunit ribosomal RNA
Source: RNAcentral
UACUCCCGCGCGGGGGAACUAGCAUAUCAAUAAGCGGAGGAAAAGAAACCAACAGGGAUUGCCCUAGUAACGGCGAGUGAAGCGGCAACAGCUCAAAUUUGAAAUCUGGCUCUUUCAGAGUCCGAGUUGUAAUUUGCAGAGGGCGCUUUGGCGUUGGCAGCGGUCCAAGUUCCUUGGAACAGGACGUCACAGAGGGUGAGAAUCCCGUACGUGGUCGCUGGCCUUCGCCGUGUAAAGCCCCUUCGACGAGUCGAGUUGUUUGGGAAUGCAGCUCUAAAUGGGAGGUAAAUUUCUUCUAAAGCUAAAUACUGGCCAGAGACCGAUAGCGCACAAGUAGAGUGAUCGAAAGAUGAAAAGCACUUUGGAAAGAGAGUCAAAUAGCACGUGAAAUUGUUGAAAGGGAAGCGCUUGCAGCCAGACUUGCCUGUAGUUGCUCAUCCGGGCUUUUGCCCGGUGCACUCUUCUAUAGGCAGGCCAGCAUCAGUUUGGGCGGUUGGAUAAAGGUCUCUGUCAUGUACCUCUCUUCGGGGAGGCCUUAUAGGGGAGACGACAUGCAACCAGCCUGGACUGAGGUCCGCGCAUUUGCUAGGAUGCUGGCGUAAUGGCUGUAAGCGGCCCGUCUUGAAACACGGACCAAGGAGUCUAACAUCUAUGCGAGUGUUUGGGUGUCAAGCCCGAACGCGUAAUGAAAGUGAACGGAGGUGGGAACCCUUACGGGCGCACCAUCGACCGAUCCUGAUGUCUUCGGAAGGAUUUGAGUAAGAGCAUGGCUGUUGGGACCCGAAAGAUGGUGAACUAUGCUUGAAUAGGGUGAAGCCAGAGGAAACUCUGGUGGAGGCUCGCAGCGGUUCUGACGUGCAAAUCGAUCGUCAAAUUUGGGCAUAGGGGCGAAAGACUAAUCGAACUUGUAAUCGCCC